RNAcentral lists this ribosomal RNA (253 nucleotides) under uncultured bacterium. RNAcentral's name for it is "partial 16S ribosomal RNA". It matches the Rfam family "Bacterial small subunit ribosomal RNA", at positions 524 to 776 of the family's 1533-position model. The record is from RNAcentral.
UACGUAGGGUGCGAGCGUUAAUCGGAAUUACUGGGCGUAAAGCGUGCGCAGGCGGUUCGCAAAGUCUGAUGUGAAAGCCCACGGCUCAACCGUGGAGGGUCAUUGGAAACUGGGGGACUUGAGUGCAGGAGAGAAGAGUGGAAUUCCACGUGUAGCGGUGAAAUGCGUAGAGAUGUGGAGGAACACCAGUGGCGAAGGCGGGUCUCUGGACAGUUCCUGACGCUGAGGCACGAAGGCCAGGGGAGCAAACGGG